RNAcentral lists this unclassified non-coding RNA (201 nucleotides) under uncultured bacterium. Its description in RNAcentral is "partial contains 16S ribosomal RNA, 16S-23S ribosomal RNA intergenic spacer, and 23S ribosomal RNA". The stretch from base 82 to 155 matches the Rfam family "tRNA". The record is from RNAcentral.
UGCGGCUGGAUCCCCUCCUUUAAGAGCGUGCAUCCGACGUUAGGCGUCCACACUUAUCGGUUUGUUUGAUGUUACAGCCAAGGGUCUGUAGCUCAGGUGGUUAGAGCACCGUCUUGAUAAGGCGGGGGUCGUAGGUUCAAGUCCUACCAGACCCACCAAGUUACGGACGGUGGAAGAUGUUCUCUGCCGUGACUGGGGGAU